AAACUCAUCUCCUUCCCAACAGCACUGUGAAGUUGGUCCCCUCAUCUCAGUCCAGAUCAGGAGCCUGAGGCUCAGAGGUCCCCUGACUUCUCUAUAUAAUAAGUGGGGAACUUGCUAAGUCGGCAGGACUGGAACUCCAACCUGUAUCUUCCAACGAGAGAAGAAAACAGGUGCUGUGGAUACAUCAUCGUGCUGGAGUCGAAUGCAGACCUAGGUUUGAAUUCCAGCAUUGUUUACUUACUGUGGGAUCUUGGGCAAAUCAUUUACUAUCUCCAAACCUCGGUCUCCUCAGAUCCCAAAUGAGAAUACUGGCAGUCCUUUCAGGACUAUUUUAAGGAUUCAAUUAGAUAAACGUAUGUAAAAUUCUCGGCACAGCGUUUGGUACAUAAUAGGCACUCAAUAAAUCUAUUUUAUUGCCUUUC
Long non-coding RNA from Equus caballus (horse), 422 nucleotides. RefSeq lists it as uncharacterized. NCBI's taxonomy places the organism in Eukaryota, Metazoa, Chordata, Mammalia, Perissodactyla, Equidae. The record is from RefSeq and is a predicted model, not a curated record.